CUCCACCCUCUCGGCCAACGGCAAAUCUGACCGACCUGAGCUGGAGUAGGGACGCUGGGAGUAGAAAUGCCCUGAGAGCUUCCUGGCGGAGGCGCAGAAAAGACGUGGUGGUGAGGCGCUUGGGUUUGGAGACGCACGAAACUGGGUUCUUUGAGCUCAGUUGCUCCCCGUAAAAUCGGAAUAAUGCACUUUCCAGAGCAUUUUCUCGAAUUAGGAGUUAAUUCGAUCCAGUGCGCCUUCCUCGGCACACUAGAAGACGGAAGCUCAAUGAGAUUAAGAAAUUUGCCCACGGUCAGACAGCUAGAAAGUGCCCGAACUGGGAGUUGAAGUUCAUUUGCCAGUGACCAGGAAUCAAAAUGACCCAGGGAUGGUAGCAGCUCUGCACUGACCAGGCCUGGGGAACUGCACUGCUUCUCGUGACGGUUUUGCACUCCGGGGAGAACCAGGAUACCAGUUUCCUAGUUGCUCGUCUCAGGACUUAAUGAAGCUCAGGUUCUUUAUGUCUUGGCACAGAAGGAAUUCAGCGAGAGGCAAAGUGAUA
Molecule: long non-coding RNA, 541 nt
Organism: Mesoplodon densirostris (Blainville's beaked whale)
Lineage: Eukaryota; Metazoa; Chordata; Mammalia; Artiodactyla; Ziphiidae
Exons: 5
Source: RefSeq, a predicted model, not a curated record